Molecule: ribosomal RNA, 399 nt
Filed under: uncultured bacterium
Lineage: Bacteria
Description: partial 16S ribosomal RNA
Rfam family: Bacterial small subunit ribosomal RNA
Source: RNAcentral
AAUGUUGGACAAUGGGCGAAAGCCAGAUGCAGCAACGCCGCGUGAGUGAUGAAGGCCUGCGGGUCGUAAAGCACUCUGAUCCGGGAGGAUAAUGACAGUACCUGAAAGACAAGCCACGGCCAACUACGUGCCAGCAGCCGCGGUAAUACGUAGGUGGCGAGCGUUGUCCGGAAUUACUGGGCGUAAAGGAUGCGUAGGUGGAUACGUAAGUGGGAUGUGAAAUCCCCGGGCUCAACCCGGGAACUGCCUUCCAAACUGGGUAUCUAGAGUGCAGGAGAGGAAAGCGGAAUUCCUAGUGUAGCGGUGAAAUGCGUAGAUAUUAGGAGGAACACCAGUGGCGAAGGCGGCUUUCUGGACUGUAACUGACACUGAGGCAUGAAAGCGUGGGUAGCAAACAGG